CUUUCACUAACGAGUACUUUUUGAUUUAAAAAAUGUUAACAUAACAUUUAUUUGAAGCAAGGAACGAUAGCUAGCAUAUAAACAUAUAUUUGGAUAUAGAGUGCUUCACAGGUAAACAAUUAAAAUUAUGUAAAUAUACGCAAUUUUUUUUAUUUUUCACUUACUCGUUCUUCCUUUUUUUUUUUAAAAAACACAUUUGGGUAAUGAACAGCUGUAGACAAUAAUCAGUGUCCUUUAUCUUACAAUAAUUCACUCAGGGUCUGAAAUGUUAUUAUAAAAAGCAAAAAUUUUGUUUCUCACAUAGUAGAUGUAACACAAUUAGAUAAAUAAAAAUGGUCCAAUACAUUGCUUAUAGCUAUUUGAAAGGAUCUUGAAGACAUUAUUAGCAGUACAGCUUACUAAAAAUUGCAACGGAAUGUCCGCAUUCUAGUAUAAUGUCCACAUACAGUAAAUAGUGUUAAAUAAUUCUAAAAUAAAGGUACUUAAAAUUGCUAACGCAAUCUGAUCAAUCUCAGGACUGUUAAAUUAAUGCUGGUUGUCUAUGUAUUGCUUCCCCAUCUCUGACUGUAGGAAUGAUAUCACCCAUUGAAAGGUCCUGUAUUGUUUGAAAGCAGGGAAUCAUCUUACAUUAUCAGCAACUUUACAGGUAUUCUAUCAGUGACUAGUGGCGUCUGGCAUUCUGAUAAUCAUAACUAGAGAAUAAAUCAUGGUGAGUGAGGCAAAAUACAUACAAAUAAAAUGUAUGCUUAAUUUGGGUAGUGAAGGGGUUACACAGUGAUAGUAGCUGUGACUCCAUGUAUCACGGUGUUUCUUAGAACUAUUAUGCAGUGCUACAUGAGAGACAAUAGAGAAGCCAUCUCCCAGGUAUCUGGCCCUGCCUGAGAAUAGACCUUAAAGGGACACUCGACUAUCCAAAUUUAAAAAAAAAUGUUUAGUAGAUGCACCCCCAAUGAAAGAAUGUAUACAUUAAAUUAAUCGUUUUUUAAUUGGUGGUAUAUCUUAAAACUGCUUGUAAGAGCUGUAGUUCUUU
Non-coding RNA from Pelobates cultripes (western spadefoot toad), 1030 nucleotides. The record is from the annotation of a GenBank genome assembly. NCBI's taxonomy places the organism in Eukaryota, Metazoa, Chordata, Amphibia, Anura, Pelobatidae.